UACGUAGGCAGCGAGCGUUGUUCGGAGUUACUGGGCGUAAAGAGCUCGUAGGUGGUUUGUCGCGUUGUUCGUGAAAACUCACAGCUCAACUGUGGGCGUGCGGGCGAUACGGGCAGACUGGAGUACUGCAGGGGAGACUGGAAUUCCUGGUGUAGCGGUGGAAUGCGCAGAUAUCAGGAGGAACACCGGUGGCGAAGGCGGGUCUCUGGGCAGUAACUGACGCUGAGGAGCGAAAGCGUGGGGAGCGAACAGG
This 253-nucleotide ribosomal RNA is filed under the name uncultured bacterium. RNAcentral describes it as "partial 16S ribosomal RNA". It matches the Rfam family "Bacterial small subunit ribosomal RNA", at positions 524 to 776 of the family's 1533-position model. The record is from RNAcentral.